GACAGAGGUGCCAAGCGUUAGGCGGAAUCACUGGGCUUAAAGCGUGUGUAGGCGGAAUGGUAAGUACCUUGUGAAAUCCCACGGCUCAACCGUGGAACUGCUGGGUAUACUGCCCUUCUUGAGCCACUUAGGGGCUGUCGGAACAAACGGUGGAGCGGUGAAAUGCGUAGAUAUCGUUUGGAACGCCAAUGGUGAAAACAGAAAGCUGGGAGUGUGCUGACGCUGAGACACGAAAGCCAGGGGAGCGAACGGG
RNAcentral lists this ribosomal RNA (253 nucleotides) under uncultured bacterium. Its description in RNAcentral is "partial 16S ribosomal RNA". It matches the Rfam family "Bacterial small subunit ribosomal RNA", at positions 524 to 776 of the family's 1533-position model. The record is from RNAcentral.